Molecule: unclassified non-coding RNA, 516 nt
Filed under: uncultured Entrophospora
Lineage: Eukaryota; Fungi; Glomeromycota; Glomeromycetes; Entrophosporales; Entrophosporaceae
Description: SSU rRNA
Rfam family: Eukaryotic small subunit ribosomal RNA
Source: RNAcentral
AGCAGCCGCGGUAAUUCCAGCUCCAAUAGCGUAUAUUAAAGUUGUUGCAGUUAAAAAGCUCGUAGUUGAAUUUCGGGAUUGACGUGAUGGUCGUGCCUUACGGGGUAUGAACUGUUGCAGUCAAUUUCUCACCUUCUGGAGAAAUAUGAUGUCCUUAAUUGGGUGUCAUAUGGAACCAGAACUUUUACCUUGAAAAAUUAGAGUGUUUAAAGCAGGCUUAUUGCUCGAAUACAUUAGCAUGGAAUAAUAAAAUAGGACGGCAUGGUUCUAUUUUGUUGGUUUCUAGGAUCACCGUAAUGAUUAAUAGGGAUAGUUGGGGGCAUUAGUAUUCAAUUGUCAGAGGUGAAAUUCUUGGAUUUAUUGAAGACUAACUACUGCGAAAGCAUUUGCCAAGGAUGUUUUCAUUAAUCAAGAACGAAAGUUAGGGGAUCGAAGACGAUCAGAUACCGUCGUAGUCUUAACCAUAAACUAUGCCGACUAGGAAUCAGACGAUGUUAAUUUUUUAAUGACUCGUUU